This is a long non-coding RNA of Anolis carolinensis (green anole), 1950 nucleotides long. RefSeq lists it as uncharacterized. The transcript has 3 exons. NCBI's taxonomy places the organism in Eukaryota, Metazoa, Chordata, Lepidosauria, Squamata, Anolidae. The record is from RefSeq and is a predicted model, not a curated record.
AGGGGAAGGGGGGGGGGGCUCGCGCAUAGAGGCGCGCCCGGACGCCGACGAGGCCGGCUGCUUCUUCUGGUGCUGCUGAUGGUGGCAAAGGGAGAGCUCCGCGCGCUCGCCUUCGUCGUCCCAGUCGUCUUGCAGGGAGAGCUCGAGGGUUUUGAGGAUAACAUCAGUGAUAGGGCAGGGCCUGGGAGCUCUCUCUCACUUGUGCAAAAUGACAGACCUGGAACAUGACACAGGAUUUGCCAGCACAUCCAAUUUAUCAACAAUUCAUCCCCGUCACACCAUAGUUCUGCAGCAGCCCAGAUUGAGAAAUAUCAAACUCAGAUGGCUUUAAAUUGAAGCAAAAGAACAAGAUCUUUGCACUGCCAUCAAACCAAGGAACAGAAGGCUUCAAAGACUGACUAUAUAGGCCAAUAAGAGUUGUCUUGGUGAAAUAUUUUACAGGUAAUCUCCUGUUAAGCACACACUGGAUUUUGCAGCCAAGAUAACAACAACAACAACAACAACAACAACAACAACAACAACAACUUCUUUAUUCUUAUAUCCCGCCACCAUCUCCCUGAAGAGAUUUGGGGCGGCUUACACAGGGAAGAGCCCGAACAACAACAUAGCAUGACAUUACAUACCCAAAAUUUGACAGCAAUUUAAAACAUAUCAAGACUAAAUAAAAUGACCUAACAUGACAAUUACUUUAAAAACCCAAGCAUCAAUUUUUACUCCAUGACAAAAGGUGACUAGUGAAGAGCUCAAGGGUCCAUAGGUAAAACAGAAUGAAUACAGGAGGAACAUGGGGCAGGUUCCAUUAAAGUGCUAUGUUGUAUGGAAUGCGGGACAGUGAUAAAGUGCUGUACAGUUUUGUAAACAUAGACAGAUAGCAAUCUGAUAACAAAUCAGGUGGGCUUAUUUAUUCAAACACAUUCCGAAACAUUCAUGUUUUCAGUUCCCAGCGAAAGAUGGGCAAAGAGGGAGCCAACCUGAUCUCCCUGGGGAGAAAGUUCCAGAGCCGGGAGGCCACUGCUGAGAAGGCCCUUUCUCUUGUCACCACCAACUGCAUCUGAGAUGGGUGGGAGCGAGAGCAGCACCUCCCCUGAUGAUUUUAGGGUCCGUGUAGGUUCGUAGGGGAGGAGGCGAAUACGGAGAUAGGCAGGUUUUGAACCGUUUAAGGCUUGAAUUGGGCCUGGAAACUUAUUGGUAGCCAGUGGAGCUGUUUAAACAAGAGGGUUAACCGCUCUCUUUAACUCUCUUUAUUAAUCUGGCUGCUGAUCUUUGUACCAACUGUAGUUUCCGAACCAUCUUCAAAGGCAGUCCCACAUUGCAGUAAUCCAGCCUGGAGGCAACUAAGGCAUGGACCACCAUGGCCAAGUCAGACUUCAUGAGGUACGGUCGCAGCUAGCACACAAGCUUUAACUGUGCAAAAGCCCUCCUGGCCACCGCCGACACCUGAGCCUCAAGCGUCAGCACUGAGUCCAGGAGGACUCCCAAGCUGCGGACCUGUGUCUUAAGGGGGAGUGUGACCCCAUCGAGCACAGGUUGCCACCCUAUGCCCCGAUCGGCCAUACGACUAACCUGGAGGGCCUCUGUCUUGUCAGGAUUAAGUUUCAGGAUGGCCCUAGCCCAAAUAACCAAAAUGGUAGCUGAGGGAGGGAUUAGUAAAUUGUACAACUUAAUAAAAGGAAAUUGAGUUUUCAUAAACAUUUCAAAAAAAUGAUUCAAAAUUGAAUCGACCACAUCUACAAAAUUUGUUCAUUUCUUUGAAAGUAUUUUAACCUAAUAUCCUAAGAUAUCAUCUCAUUUUUCUAAAAUACAUCAGCAAGACAUUUUGAUUGGAAUUGUAGAGUCCCUUGUUAAGUCCCUUGUUUAGGAUGAAACAGUUUCCGGUGUAUCGGUCUGCAUGAGAAAGAACAAGUCCAGUUAUGUAAAAAUAUGUAUAAAAUAAAAAAUGUCUUCAAAUAA